RNAcentral lists this ribosomal RNA (252 nucleotides) under uncultured prokaryote. Its description in RNAcentral is "partial 16S rRNA". It matches the Rfam family "Archaeal small subunit ribosomal RNA", at positions 475 to 726 of the family's 1478-position model. The record is from RNAcentral.
ACCGGCGGCUCGAGUGGUGGCCACUAUUACUGGGCUUAAAGCGUUCGUAGCUGGGUUGUUAAGUCUCUUGGGAAAUCCACCGGCUCAACCGAAAGGCGACCCAGGGAUACUGGCAUGCUAGGGACCGGGAGAGGUGAGGGGUACUCCAGGGGUAGGAGUGAAAUCCUGUAAUCCUUGGGGGACCACCUGUGGCGAAGGCGUCUCACCAGAACGGCUCCGACAGUGGGGAACGAAAGCUGGGGGAGCAAACCG